GCUGCUGCAGGAGAUGGCAUUCCUCCUCAUAACCGCCCCGAUCGGGCUGAUGAUGCCUAUGGUAUU
This 66-nucleotide non-coding RNA is filed under the name Crenobacter luteus. RNAcentral's name for it is "Fluoride sequence". It matches the Rfam family "Fluoride riboswitch aptamer (crcB RNA motif)". The record is from Rfam by way of RNAcentral. Lineage: Bacteria; Pseudomonadati; Pseudomonadota; Betaproteobacteria; Neisseriales; Neisseriaceae.